GGGGUAAGCGUUGUUCGGAAUUACUGGGCGUAAAGGGCUCGUGGGCGGCCAACUAAGUCAUACGUGAAAUCCCUCAGCUUAACUGGGGAACUGCGUGUGAUACUGGAUGGCUUGGAUGUGGGAGAGGGAUGCGGAAUUCCAGGUGUAGCGGUGAAAUGCGUAGAUAUCUGGAGGAACUCCGGUGGCGAAGGCGGCAUCCUGGACCAUUAUUGACGCUGAGGAGCGAAAGCGUGGGGAGCGAACAGG
This 246-nucleotide ribosomal RNA is filed under the name uncultured bacterium. Its description in RNAcentral is "partial 16S ribosomal RNA". It matches the Rfam family "Bacterial small subunit ribosomal RNA", at positions 531 to 776 of the family's 1533-position model. The record is from RNAcentral.